GCCUUUGUGGUGUAAUGGUCAGCAUACUGAGCCGUAUUUCAGAGGUCCGUGGUUCGAUUCCCGGCGAAGGAA
Molecule: non-coding RNA, 72 nt
Organism: Stegodyphus mimosarum
Lineage: Eukaryota; Metazoa; Arthropoda; Arachnida; Araneae; Eresidae
Source: Rfam